GCGGACGUAGCCGAAUUUGGUAUAGGCGCCAGACUUAGGAUCUGGUGUGCGAAAGCACAUGUGGGUUCGAGUCCCACCGUCCGCA
Molecule: transfer RNA, 85 nt
Filed under: Acidimicrobiia bacterium
Lineage: Bacteria; Bacillati; Actinomycetota; Acidimicrobiia
Also listed under: 2 other names
Description: tRNA-Leu
Rfam family: tRNA
About the family: Transfer RNA (tRNA) molecules are approximately 80 nucleotides in length.
Source: RNAcentral